CCUACGGGAGGCAGCAGUAGGGAAUCUUUCACAAUGGGCGAAAGCCUGAUGGAGCAACGCCGCGUGCAGGAUGAAGGCCUUCGGGUUGUAAACUGCUUUUAUAAGCGAGAAAUAUGAUGGUAACUUAUGAAUAAGGAUCGGCCAACUACGUGCCAGCCGCCGCGGUCAUACGUAGGAUCCGAGCCUUAUCCGGAUUGACUGGGUGUAAAGAGUUGCGUAGGUGGCAUAAUAAGUAGCUAGUGAAAUCGGGUGGCUCAACCAUUCAGACUAUUAGCUAAACUGUUAAGUGGGAGACCGUUAGGGGUAAGUGGAAUUUCUAGUGUAGGAGUGAAAUGCGUAGAUAUUAGAAGGAACACCAAUGGCGUAGGCAGGUUGCUGGGACGGUUCUGACACUAAGGCACGAAAGCGUAGGGAGCAAACGGGAUUAGAUACCCCUGUAGUC
RNAcentral lists this ribosomal RNA (442 nucleotides) under uncultured bacterium. RNAcentral's name for it is "partial 16S ribosomal RNA". It matches the Rfam family "Bacterial small subunit ribosomal RNA", at positions 338 to 795 of the family's 1533-position model. The record is from RNAcentral.